UUUAACGAGAGUUUGAUCCUGGCUCAGGAUGAACGCUGGCGGCGUGCUUAACACAUGCAAGUCGAACGAAGCGCUUAAAUGGAUUUCUUCGGAUUGAAGUUUUUGUGACUGAGUGGCGGACGGGUGAGUAACGCGUGGGUAACCUGCCUCAUACAGGGGGAUAACAGUUAGAAAUGACUGCUAAUACCGCAUAAGCGCACAGUGCUGCAUGGCACAGUGUGAAAAACUCCGGUGGUAUGAGAUGGACCCGCGUCUGAUUAGCUAGUUGGUGGGGUAA
Molecule: ribosomal RNA, 277 nt
Filed under: Faecalimonas nexilis
Lineage: Bacteria; Bacillati; Bacillota; Clostridia; Lachnospirales; Lachnospiraceae
Description: partial 16S ribosomal RNA
Rfam family: Bacterial small subunit ribosomal RNA
Source: RNAcentral